RNAcentral lists this ribosomal RNA (253 nucleotides) under uncultured bacterium. Its description in RNAcentral is "partial 16S ribosomal RNA". It matches the Rfam family "Bacterial small subunit ribosomal RNA", at positions 524 to 776 of the family's 1533-position model. The record is from RNAcentral.
GACGAACCGCCCGAACGUUAUUCGGAAUCACUGGGCUUAAAGGGAGCGUAGGCGGGCUGCCAAGUCCGGGGUGAAAUCCUCCAGCUUAACUGGAGAACUGCCUCGGAUACUGGAAGUCUCGAGGAGGGUAGGGGCAAGUGGAACCGUGGGUGGAGCGGUGAAAUGCGUUGAUAUCCAUGGGAACUCCGGUGGCGAAGGCGACUUGCUGGACCCUUUCUGACGCUGAGGCGCGAAAGCGUGGGUAGCAAACGGG